Molecule: long non-coding RNA, 1533 nt
Organism: Pseudopipra pipra
Lineage: Eukaryota; Metazoa; Chordata; Aves; Passeriformes; Pipridae
Exons: 3
Source: RefSeq, a predicted model, not a curated record
CAGCUGCAGAGCCCUGGGCCCAGGAGGCUCUAGGCACCGGAGGGGAGGUGAUCCAGGGGUUCUGCCACCUUCUAACAGACAGUCCAGUGCUUCAGGGCCCGUGCUGGUAAGAGGUCACUGUGGAGGAGAGGUAGGUAGGAGCUACCCCAGGAAAGCCAUCCUUUCAGGCAGUACCUCAGUCUGUACAUUUGCCUUUGGCUUUUUUACUUUGCAGAGAAUGUGUGCAGCCUGAGAGGGCGAGAGCCACCUGCCAGUUAGGUUUGAUGGUCUUCAUCUGUCCUUGUGAGUAAUCUCCUAGUACUACGAGGGUCAUCAAUUCAGGCUGGACCUUUUCCAGCUGCAGGUGCCAUCCAGCCUGCCUUUGGCAAAGGAGGAGCAUUGAGGUUGAGUUGGGGAGGUAGGGAGUAGGUGCUGGGGUCUCCCUUACUUUCAGAAACACCCCGUAACUUUUUUUCUCACUCCCCCAGGUACGGCACACGGUGACGGCAGCAGCCUCCGACUGGGGUCAGAGCCAGUGGCCCGAGAACCUCUCAGCUCAGGGGAGGCAACCGAGUCAGGGAUCACAGGACCCUCUGAGCCAGCCGGGCGUCCUUCCUUCACAUUGAAGAUGGAUUCACAUCCCCAGCUGUGGGAAAGAUAAGUGGAGGACUCCCACCUGGAGAGGGGAUGAGAGCUGGGUCCAGUUUUAUGUUUAGGAGGGAGGGAUUUUCAGAUGAGCACAGGAGAAAGGGUCUGCCCUAACAGGCCCUUGACACACAUAGGAGGAGCAGUUUACUUUUCAUCACUGGAGUAGGAUGUGCAGGGCAGAGCUGUUCAGGUCUGUGUCGUGUCCUUUGUCCAGUCUGUGUUUCGUGUCUUACUAUUCACAGUCACCACAUCUUUGCUUUCUGUCCUCAAAGUUCUUAUCUGAGGCAUCAUUCCUAGGGUCUUGAACCUCUGCACUGCCCAGCCCAGUGCCCAUACCAUCCGUUCUUUGGCUCGCUAGCUUGGAUGUGCGUCAGAAUCGCAUCUGAGAAGUGUCAGGUCAGGUGUCUUUUACAGCCUCCUUACAGGUUGUAUCAGUGGCUGUGCCGUGCAGUCAUCCCUUGUCAUCCCCCCUGGGACUUGUGAGAAUCUAAUAAGAUUCUGAACAUAGCCUUGUCUCCCAUCCAUCUUAGCAAUUUUGUAGGCAGUUCUUGCCCCAGGCCAUUCUGUUAGAGUGUCUUUUCAGGCUCCUCAGAGCCUCCUCCGUUCAGUCUCGCCGUAUCCUCCGUCUUCUCGUGCGGCAGCACAUCCAUUUUGGCGUCGUUCCUUUCUCAGAGUUCUCUCUCCUGGUUGCACCACAGCACUUGUCUGGAAAUGUGUCCUUGGAGUUUGUGUUGGGCCUGGAACUGCUCUGCCCUGCAGUGUAGAGUUGGGGGUAGGUGGAGUAGAAAGGAGACUUCCCAGUUACCCUGUGAUAGGCUCAGGCACUGAGGGCAGGGCCUUAAAGUGAGGUCAGUGUUUGUUUGUGCAGGUUGUCUUUGGACCCCAGAGGGCUUGUCUAAGGAGAAA